Eucalyptus grandis is the source of this 351-nucleotide long non-coding RNA. RefSeq lists it as uncharacterized. The transcript has 2 exons. The record is from RefSeq and is a predicted model, not a curated record. Lineage: Eukaryota; Viridiplantae; Streptophyta; Magnoliopsida; Myrtales; Myrtaceae.
CCGAUCGGCGCGAGAAUCCGCUGCUCACCUUGCCACAUCCAGUGCUCUUCGGAUCACGAUGUUCUCGCGCGCUUGAGCUUCGAAUCCGUGUGCUCCAUCAAACCUUCGACAACUUGGAGCCUUGGAGCUUUCGGUUUUCAUUGAGUGUGACAAAUUCUGGGUAUGGUCCUUCGUGGUGUCCAUGCGCAAUUCAGGAUAACUUGCAAAGAGCCGCAUGAGAAGCGCAUCCAUAUGAAGAGAGCCAAAUGUAUUAAAGCGAUUAAUGAGAUCGUUUUGACUUACUCUUGUAACCGGAAAUCAUGUUCAUUUUCAGGAAAAAAAAUACGUGUAUAAAUUCAAGUUUCCUUUUCA